Peromyscus maniculatus bairdii (prairie deer mouse) is the source of this 1405-nucleotide non-coding RNA. NCBI's taxonomy places the organism in Eukaryota, Metazoa, Chordata, Mammalia, Rodentia, Cricetidae. The record is from RefSeq and is a predicted model, not a curated record.
AGUUGCACUCCCAGAGAAGCAGACAGCAGCCCUCUUCAACACAGAAUGGGGCCAAGAAGGCUUGUUUGCUGAGACUACCAGCUUCAAGUCCAUAAAAAUCUACAAGCAAGUGUAACCCAGUGUUUUCCUGUACAUCCUCCUGUCUCAGAAUCCACGGGCCUCACUCUCCUGGUAACUGAAGUUUUCAUCAAGAAAACCUCUCUUUGCAACAGACUGAGACCACUAAAGAAAACCACAACCACCAAAUGCAGGGUUGUAGAGCCCAGUCCCAACUGACAUGUCUCCAACACAAUGUCCUACAUCUAAAGCUCAAACGACAUUUCAGAUGAGGAGGCAGGAAUACUGUAGAGGUGGUACCAAGGUAAUUCUCAGACCUGCCAACAUUGGAAUGAUCACACGUUCUUAAUCAGUGGAGUCCAAAUUGAAGGUCUUGAUGCUUCAUUAGAAGCUGUAUCCCCUGUGAUUUGCUUAGCACCUCUGAGCUGCUUAGUGUUCUCUGUUUGGAAACAAGACUCCCACAUGUACCAAAACUUCUUCACGGGAGAGGCUGAACCUGGGUCUGAAAUGACACUUUUGGAUUUAAAUCCCAACUCUCUGGAGAUCAAGGGUCUCUGCUUUGUCGGCUGUGGGCUGGGUGCCAGGAUUAGGCAGCCGAUCUGGAUGUAUGGCAUGGCAGCCGCUGCUGUGGAAACUUGUUCUGUGCUUAAUAUCAGUUCUCAACUGGUGGCGACAUUUUGGGAGGUUAUAGAACCUUUAGAAGGUGAUCCCAGACUCUGAUCCUGCUGCAGUACCUCCAGCCUCAUGGUGGACUCUAUCCCCUUUCGCUGAAUUUCUCCUUCUUUUACUUGCUUCUUGUCAGGUAUUUGGUUACAGUGAUGAAAAAUGUAAGUGAUACAGAACCAAAGACUCAAUGUGAAUGGACUAAGGGGCUUCAUCAGGGAUGGUGGUGGGCUUUGAGCAAACAGGAGUUGAAGGGAUAAAUCCAUGUGAGACCAGACCGUGGCAAAUUUGUUCAAGGUGGACUUGUUCAGUUAGUGUUUGCAAAUCAGUCAUGACCAGCAGAGUCAGAGGGUAAGUCAGCAGAGGCCAGGAAAAUGUGGCUUGCUAUCCCUAUAAAGAGAGACAUCAUGGUGAAGGUCAGCUGUGGCCUCCCUUGAGCUGGUCUGGAGCGUUUCUGAAGUCCAUGUGUUCUCAAAACAGUCGCUUUGGUCUUUUCUCCUUUGUUUGUGUGAAACAAAGGUUCUUUGCCUUAUUUCAUAAACUCAAACAGAAGUGGUCAAAUAAAAACAUUCCCUCCAGCAACUCUACAGGACUCUCCUUCGCUCAUUCUAGAAGUUUCCUGCAUGUGUACUGGGCUAGAGAUAAUCUUGCUGCAAGUCCCAGGAGAGGCUCAGCACCCCCUCAU